RNAcentral lists this ribosomal RNA (440 nucleotides) under uncultured bacterium. Its description in RNAcentral is "partial 16S ribosomal RNA". It matches the Rfam family "Bacterial small subunit ribosomal RNA", at positions 338 to 795 of the family's 1533-position model. The record is from RNAcentral.
CCUACGGGAGGCAGCAGUGGGGAAUAUUGCACAAUGGGGGAAACCCUGAUGCAGCGACGCCGCGUGAGUGAAGAAGGAUUUCGGGAUGUAAAGCUCUAUCAGCAGGGAAGAAAAUGACGGUACAUGGUUAAGAAGCCCCGGCUAACUACGAGCAGGCAGACGCGGUAAUACGUAGGGGCCAAGCGGUAGCCGGAUUUAGUGGGUGUAACGGGAGAGUAGACGGGAGCAAAAGUCUGGAGUGAAAUGCCGGGGCUUAACCCCGGGCCUGCUUUGGAAACUGGGCAGCUAGAGUGCAGGAGAGGUAAGUGGAAGUCCUAGUGUAGCGGUGAAAUGCGUAGAUAUUAGGCGGAACACCAGUGGCGAAGGCGGCUUACUGGACUGUAACUGACGUUGAGGCUCGAAAGCGUGGGGAGCAAACAGGAUUAGAUACCCCAGUAGUC